RNAcentral lists this ribosomal RNA (400 nucleotides) under uncultured bacterium. Its description in RNAcentral is "bacterial SSU rRNA". It matches the Rfam family "Bacterial small subunit ribosomal RNA", at positions 356 to 773 of the family's 1533-position model. The record is from RNAcentral.
GGGGAAUAUUGGACAAUGGGCGCAAGCCUGAUCCAGCCAUGCCGCGUGAGUGAUGAAGGCCCUAGGGUUGUAAAGCUCUUUCAACGGUGAAGAUAAUAACGGUAACCGUAGAAGAAGCCCCGGCUAACUUCGUGCCAGCAGCCGCGGUAAUACGAAGGGGGCUAGCGUUGUUCGGAAUUACUGGGCGUAAAGCGCACGUAGGCGGAUUGGUCAGUUAGGGGUGAAAUCCCAGGGCUCAACCCUGGAACUGCCUUUAAUACUGCCGGUCUAGAGUUCGAGAGAGGUGAGUGGAAUUCCGAGUGUAGAGGUGAAAUUCGUAGAUAUUCGGAGGAACACCAGUGGCGAAGGCGGCUCGCUGGCUCGAGACUGACGCUGAGGUGCGAAAGCGUGGGGAGCAAAC